CCUACGGGAGGCAGCAGUAGGGAAUCUUCGGCAAUGGGGGCAACCCUGACCGAGCAACGCCGCGCGAGUGAAGAAGGUUUUCGGAUCGUAAAACUCUGUUGUUAGAGAAGAACGUUAAGUAGAGUGGAAAAUUACUUAAGUGACGGUAUCUAACCAGAAAGGGACGGCUAACUACGUGCCAGCAGCCGCGGUAAU
RNAcentral lists this ribosomal RNA (195 nucleotides) under uncultured Lactococcus sp. RNAcentral's name for it is "partial 16S ribosomal RNA". It matches the Rfam family "Bacterial small subunit ribosomal RNA", at positions 338 to 524 of the family's 1533-position model. The record is from RNAcentral. Lineage: Bacteria; Bacillati; Bacillota; Bacilli; Lactobacillales; Streptococcaceae.